This 825-nucleotide ribosomal RNA is filed under the name Diaporthe penetriteum. Its description in RNAcentral is "eukaryotic LSU rRNA". It matches the Rfam family "Eukaryotic large subunit ribosomal RNA", at positions 83 to 940 of the family's 3401-position model. Lineage: Eukaryota; Fungi; Ascomycota; Sordariomycetes; Diaporthales; Diaporthaceae. The record is from RNAcentral.
GUAACGGCGAGUGAAGCGGCAACAGCUCAAAUUUGAAAUCUGGCCUCGGCCCGAGUUGUAAUUUGCAGAGGAUGCUUCUGGCGCGGUGCCUUCCGAGUUCCCUGGAACGGGACGCCACAGAGGGUGAGAGCCCCGUAUGGUCGGACACCAAGCCUGUGUGAAGCUCCUUCGACGAGUCGAGUAGUUUGGGAAUGCUGCUCUAAAUGGGAGGUAAAUCUCUUCUAAAGCUAAAUACCGGCCAGAGACCGAUAGCGCACAAGUAGAGUGAUCGAAAGAUGAAAAGCACCUUGAAAAGGGGGUUAAAUAGUACGUGAAAUUGUUGAAAGGGAAGCACUUAUGACCAGACCUGGGCCGGGCGGCUCAUCAGGGGUUCUCCCCUGUGCACUCCGCCCGGCACAGGCCAGCAUCGGUUCUCGUGGGGGGAUAAGACCGUCAGGAACGUAGCACCCUCCGGGGUGUGUUAUAGCCUGGCGGACGAUACCCCCGUGGGGACCGAGGUCCGCGCUCCGCAAGGAUGCUGGCGUAAUGGUCAUCAGUGACCCGUCUUGAAACACGGACCAAGGAGUCGUCCAUUAGAGCGAGCGUUUGGGUGUAAAACCCGCACGCGUAAUGAAAGUGAACGCAGGUGAGAGCUUCGGCGCAUCAUCGACCGAUCCUGAUGUUCUCGGAAGGAUUUGAGUAAGAGUUUUAACGGACGGACCCGAAAGACAGUGAACUAUGCUUGUAUAGGGUGAAGCCAGAGGAAACUCUGGUGGAGGCUCGCAGCGGUUCUGACGUGCAAAUCGAUCGUCAAAUAUGAGCAUGGGGGCGAAAGACUAAUCGAAC